This 253-nucleotide ribosomal RNA is filed under the name uncultured bacterium. RNAcentral describes it as "partial 16S ribosomal RNA". It matches the Rfam family "Bacterial small subunit ribosomal RNA", at positions 524 to 776 of the family's 1533-position model. The record is from RNAcentral.
UACGGGGGGGGCAAGCGUUGUUCGGAAUUACUGGGCGUAAAGGGCUCGUAGGUGGCCAACUAAGUCAGACGUGAAAUCCCUCGGCUUAACCGGGGAACUGCGUCUGAUACUGGAUGGCUUGAGAUUGGGAGAGGGAUGCGGAAUUCCAGGUGUAGCGGUGAAAUGCGUAGAUAUCUGGAGGAACACCGGUGGCGAAGGCGGCAUCCUGGACCAACGCUGACACUGAGGAGCGAAAGCCAGGGGAGCAAACGGG